Molecule: ribosomal RNA, 1025 nt
Filed under: Zalerion maritima
Lineage: Eukaryota; Fungi; Ascomycota; Sordariomycetes; Lulworthiales; Lulworthiaceae
Description: SSU rRNA
Rfam family: Eukaryotic small subunit ribosomal RNA
Source: RNAcentral
AUUAUACCGCGAAACUGCGAAUGGCUCAUUAAAUCAGUUAUCGUUUAUUUGAUAGUUCCAUACUACUUGGAUAACCGUGGUAAUUCUAGAGCUAAUACAUGCAAAAAACCGCGACUUCGGAAGCGGUGUAUUUAUUAGAUUAAAGACCAAUGCCCUUCGGGGCUGACAGGUGAUUCAUGAUAACUUCUCGAAUCGCAUGGCCUUGCGCCGGCGAUGGUUCAUUCAAAUUUCUGCCCUAUCAACUUUCGACUUUAGUGUAGUGGACUAAAGUGGUUGCAACGGGUAACGGAGGGUUAGGGCUCGACCCCGGAGAAGGAGCCUGAGAAACGGCUACUACAUCCAAGGAAGGCAGCAGGCGCGCAAAUUACCCAAUCCCGACACGGGGAGGUAGUGACAAUAAAUACUGAUACAGGGCUCUUUUGGGUCUUGUAAUUGGAAUGAGUACAAUUUAAAUCCCUUAACGAGGAACAAUUGGAGGGCAAGUCUGGUGCCAGCAGCCGCGGUAAUUCCAGCUCCAAUAGCGUAUAUUAAAGUUGUUGUGGUUAAAAAGCUCGUAGUUGAACCUGGGCCUCGCGCAGACCGGUCCGCCUCACCGCGUGCACUGGUCCUGCCGGGGCUUUCACUAGGGGAUUCGCAUGUCCUUCACUGGGCGUGCGCGGAACCUGGACUUUUACUGUGAAAAAAUUAGAGUGUUCAAAGCAGGCCUAUGCUCGAAUACAUUAGCAUGGAAUAAUAGAAUAGGACGUGUGGUUCUAUUUUGUUGGUUAUGGGACCGCCGUAAUGAUUAAUAGGGACAGUCGGGGGCAUCAGUAUUCAAUUGUCAGAGGUGAAAUUCUUGGAUUUAUUGAAGACUAACUACUGCGAAAGCAUUUGCCAAGGAUGUUUUCAUUAAUCAGGAACGAAAGUUAGGGGAUCGAAGACGAUCAGAUACCGUCGUAGUCUUAACCAUAAACUAUGCCGACUAGGGAUCGGGCGAUGUUACUUUUUGACUCGCUCGGCACCUUACGAGAAAUCAAAGUCUGUGG